This 535-nucleotide long non-coding RNA is filed under the name Lathyrus oleraceus (garden pea). RNAcentral's name for it is "Pisum sativum (pea) long non-coding RNA (PSAT_LNC031861)". Lineage: Eukaryota; Viridiplantae; Streptophyta; Magnoliopsida; Fabales; Fabaceae. The record is from RNAcentral.
UUCAUCAUUUUUUUCAUGCCCCUUGGCAGUCCUCAUUCCACCUGACCGUUUGAUUUCUUUCUUUUUUGUUUGUUUUUGGUUCAGGCGUUUCUAGUAUUGUUCUUCCUUUUUUUUUGUUUUUUUUUGUUUUUGCAGGAUCGACCUCGAUUCCUUCAUUCGCAACAUGCCUCGGCAGCUUGCUGGACAGCACUCCAUAAGUGCGCUAAUUCGAACUCAACAGUAUGAGUUAUCUCUACCUGUCAAACAACUUGAUCCACCGGAUGCCCCUCUUCUGCUUGGGACACGGCAGCUUGCUGGACAGCACUCCAUAAGUGCGCUAAUUCGAACUCAACAGUAUGAGUUAUCUCUACCUGUCAAACAACUUGAUCCACCGGAUGCCCCUCUUCUGCUUGGGACUUUGCCAUCAUGUCGUCAACAUGGCAUUUGCUUUCACGAUGAGUCAUAUCAUGAAAAAAAGUCACUGUAGCCCUUUGAUUCGUGGCACCGACCUUCUUCUUCACCAUAUAACAAGAAGGGACUCCUCGGUGUGAUGGAC